CUGGUUGAUCCUGCCAGCAGUCAUAUGCUUGUCUCAAAGAUUAAGCCAUGCAUGCGUCAGCAUAAUGUCUGAGGAAAUGAAUCUGCGAUUGGCUCAUUAAAACAGUGGUAAAUUACUUGGAGAUCCUUUCUACACGGAUAGUCGUAGCAAUUCUAGAACUAAUACGUGUGCCAAUGCCGAACUUCGUGGAUAGGUUUUUCUUAUUAGUUGCAGAAUCGAUACAGGCUCUACCUGGUUUACUUGUGGUUCGUAAUAAGUGGGUGAUUGCAUGGCUACUGGUAAUGACUCAUUCAAGCCUCUGACCUAUCAGCUUGUGAUGGUAGGGUCUUGGCCUACCCUGGCAUUGACGGGUAACGGAUAAUUAGGGUUUGAUUCCGGAGAGGUAGCCUGCAAAAUGGCUACCACAUCUAAGGAGGGCAGCAGGCACGCAUUUUACCCAAUCCUGACACAGAGAGGUAGUGACAAGAAUUAACAAUAUAUGGCAUCCAUGUCUUGUACUUGGAAUGAAUGGAAUCUACAUGCCUUUAUGAGCAUCAAUUGGAGGGCAAGUCUGGU
RNAcentral lists this ribosomal RNA (555 nucleotides) under uncultured eukaryote. Its description in RNAcentral is "SSU rRNA". It matches the Rfam family "Eukaryotic small subunit ribosomal RNA", at positions 4 to 565 of the family's 1831-position model. The record is from RNAcentral.